This 252-nucleotide ribosomal RNA is filed under the name uncultured Actinomycetes bacterium. RNAcentral's name for it is "uncultured actinobacterium partial 16S ribosomal RNA". It matches the Rfam family "Bacterial small subunit ribosomal RNA", at positions 28 to 276 of the family's 1533-position model. The record is from RNAcentral. Lineage: Bacteria; Bacillati; Actinomycetota; Actinomycetes.
GAUGAACGCUGGCGGCGUGCUUAACACAUGCAAGUCGAACGGGAUCCCAGGAGCUUGCUCCUGGGUGAGAGUGGCGAACGGGUGAGUAAUGCGUGACCGACCUGCCCCAUACACCGGAAUAGCUCCUGGAAACGGGUGGUAAUGCCGGAUGCUCCAACAUGACGCAUGUCGUGUCGGGAAAGAUUCUAUCGGUAUGGGAUGGGGGUCGCGUCCUAUCAGCUUGAUGGCGGGGUAACGGCCCCACCAUGGCUU